AAUUUUAAGGACGCUUCUGAACCUUCGAGUAUGAUCAGACCUGAUGAAGAAGUAUUAAUGGGUUCAGUUGGUGCCAGGAAUCCUAAACCCGAGUCCAUAAUUAACACCCCAGACACUGAGUUUCAGGAAGUGCAAGCCGAUGACAAUCAGAGCUGUCAAUUCUGUCCCAAGUUCCACUCUGUUUCCAUGCCAUCACUUUCAAAUUGUGGCCACUUCACCAGACCUUUACGAAGGCCAAGUGCGGUUUCUCGACAAGAGAUGGCGCCAAGCCAAGUCCCUCGACUAAACAAGACGAGCCCUUGUCACUACGAGUCCAGCGUGUAGUAACUUACUCAAGAACUAUAACUAUAGACGAAACGACAAGAGCGCCCUCCCGUGGCAUCUCAGAGAGUUACGUACUGAAAUGACCUAAUGAGUUACAAAGAAGAAAAAUGAAGAACAAUCUAGACGUUGUGCCUUUGAAAAGCCAGUCUUUCUUUCCCUAACGACCAUAAAAUGUAUAUUAUCAAACAUAAAUGUUAUGUUUAUAUAUAUAGAUAGAUAUAUGUAUGUAAAUGGAUAUAAACAAUGGAUCUUAUUUUGUAAUAUCAAUGUUCAACUUCUUGCCUUAAAUAUC
Molecule: long non-coding RNA, 616 nt
Organism: Limulus polyphemus (Atlantic horseshoe crab)
Lineage: Eukaryota; Metazoa; Arthropoda; Merostomata; Xiphosura; Limulidae
Exons: 4
Source: RefSeq, a predicted model, not a curated record